Molecule: ribosomal RNA, 253 nt
Filed under: uncultured bacterium
Lineage: Bacteria
Description: partial 16S ribosomal RNA
Rfam family: Bacterial small subunit ribosomal RNA
Source: RNAcentral
UACGUAGGGUGCGAGCGUUGUCCGGAAUUAUUGGGCGUAAAGAGCUCGUAGGCGGCUUAUCGCGUCGGAUGUGAAAGCCCGGGGCUUAACUUCGGGUCUGCAUUCGAUACGGGCAGGCUAGAGUUCGGUAGGGGAGAUCGGAAUUCCUGGUGUAGCGGUGAAAUGCGCAGAUAUCAGGAGGAACACCGGUGGCGAAGGCGGAUCUCUGGGCCGAUACUGACGCUGAGGAGCGAAAGCGUGGGGAGCGAACAGG